CCUACGGAGGCAGCAGUGAGGAAUAUUGGUCAACGGGCGCGAGCCUGAACCAGCCAAGUAGCGUGAAGGAUGACUGCCCUACGGGUUGUAAACUUCUUUUAUAAAGGAAUAAAGUGAGGCACGUGUGCCUUUUUGUAUGUAUUUUAUGAAUAAGGAUCGACUAACUCCGUGCCAGCAGCCGCGGUAAUACGGAGGAUCCGAGCGUUAUCCGGAUUUAUUGGGUUUAAAGGGAGCGUAGAUGGGUUGUUAAGUCAGUUGUGAAAGUUUGCGGCUCAACCGUAAAAUUGCAAUUGAUACUGGCAGCCUUGAGUACAGUUUAGGUAGGCGGAAUUCGUGGUGUAGCGGUGAAAUGCUUAGAUAUCACGAAGAACUCCGAUUGCGAAGGCAGCCUACUAAACUGCCACUGACAUUGAUGCUCGAAAGUGUGGGUAUCAAACAGGAUUAGAUACCCUAGUAGUC
This 459-nucleotide ribosomal RNA is filed under the name uncultured bacterium. RNAcentral's name for it is "partial 16S ribosomal RNA". It matches the Rfam family "Bacterial small subunit ribosomal RNA", at positions 338 to 795 of the family's 1533-position model. The record is from RNAcentral.